Molecule: long non-coding RNA, 261 nt
Filed under: Erythranthe guttata (spotted monkey flower)
Lineage: Eukaryota; Viridiplantae; Streptophyta; Magnoliopsida; Lamiales; Phrymaceae
Description: long non-coding RNA (EGUT_LNC002014)
Source: RNAcentral
UGUUGGUGCCUUCCAUCCGGUGAGAAUGGAUCUCCAGGCUCUCUCAUCAAUGGCUUUGAUGUAUGCCCUCAUCUUGACUUUCCAGUAGGUGUAGUUUGUGCCGUCGAGUACAGGAGGUCGCAUAGAAGCAGUCAUCUGAGUAUCCAUCACGAAUUCGUUUCUGAAAAAGAAAAAUAGGAACAAACACUUAGUAUAUGUCAAGUGUUGGCUCUUGAUGCCAAUUGAAAGAAUUUAUGGUCCCGAAUUCGUUUAAUACAGAGG